GACGAACGCUGGCGGCGUGCCUAAUACAUGCAAGUAGAACGCACAGUUUAUACCGUAGCUUGCUACACCAUAGACUGUGAGUUGCGAACGGGUGAGUAACGCGUAGGUAACCUGCCUGGUAGCGGGGGAUAACUAUUGGAAACGAUAGCUAAUACCGCAUAAUAUUAAUUAUUGCAUGAUAAUUAAUUGAAAGGUGCAAUUGCACCACUACCAGAUGGACCUGCGUUGUAUUAGCUAGUAGGUGAGGUAACGGCUCACCUAGGCGACGAUACAUAGCCGACCUGAGAGGGUGAUCGGCCACACUGGGACUGAGACACGGCCCAGACUCCUACGGGAGGCAGCAGGAGGGAAUCUUCGGCAAUGGACGAAAGUCUGACCGAGCAACGCCGCGGGAGUGAAGAAGGUUUUCGGAUCGGAAAGCUCUGUUGUAAGAGAAGAACGGGUGUGAGAGUGGAAAGUUCACACUGUGACGGUAUCUUACCAGAAAGGGACGGCUAACUACGUG
Molecule: ribosomal RNA, 505 nt
Filed under: uncultured bacterium
Lineage: Bacteria
Description: partial 16S ribosomal RNA
Rfam family: Bacterial small subunit ribosomal RNA
Source: RNAcentral